AUUGAACGCUGGCGGCAGGCCUAACACAUGUAAGUCGAGCGAGCGGCGGACGGGUGAGUAAUGUAUGGGGACUGCCCGAUAGAGGGGGAUAACUACUGGAAACGGUGGCUAAUACCGCAUACUAUCGGAUAACCCAUAUGGGAUUAGCUGGUGUGUGGGGUAAAGGCUCACCAGGGCGACGAUCUCUAGCUGGUCUGAGAGGAUGAUCAGCAACACUGGAACUGAGACACGGGCCAGACUCCUACGGAGGCAGCAGUGGGGAAUAUUGCACAAUGGGCGCAAGCCUGAUGCAGCCAUGCCGCGUGUAUGAAGAAGGCCUUAGGGUUGUAAAGUACUUUCAGCGGGGAGGCGUUACCCGCAGAAGAAGCACCGGCUAACUCCGUGCCAGCAGCCGCGGUAAUAC
RNAcentral lists this ribosomal RNA (403 nucleotides) under uncultured bacterium. RNAcentral describes it as "partial 16S ribosomal RNA". It matches the Rfam family "Bacterial small subunit ribosomal RNA", at positions 30 to 526 of the family's 1533-position model. The record is from RNAcentral.